GUUCAACAGAGUAAAGAGGGUGAAACGGAGACAGGGGUUGAAUGGUAUAUUGAUUAAUUAGGUAAAUAAUUGGUUAGUUUCUACCCUCAUCUGGUUGUUUAGGUCUGAACUGUUAACCAAUUCUAAGGAAAAACUAAAAACCUGCAGACUCUCGUCCCUUCGUGGAACCGGUUUGACACCCCUAGUCUAGAUGGUUGACCCCACACUCCUGAACAGUGGAGUUAUAUGCACGUUAAAGUUGACUGCGAUUCGCCAACAGAAUCCUAUAUAAAAGAAGAAUAAGAUCACGCUCUUUCGUGACGUAGUUAUGUGAAACACCUCGGAAUUUCAUGGCAAACUGAGGUAAGAUAGUGUUUCUACUUACAGAUAGUGAAGAUAUUAAACAAAUAUAAUAAAUACUCCUAAAAAGGUUAGACAGUUUAUUUCGUAAGAAGUCGCCGAACUCAUCUUAAAAAACGCAUCAACUUUGGACCCACUUGACUCGAAUUAUCCAAUUAAUGGACAUCAUUACUGUUAAAAAAUAAAACGCGCAUGAAAAAGUAUGGAAUAAAAAUAUUUUAAACAUUUGAUAGCGACGAUCAAAUUCAAACCCGGAGGAUUAGAAGUAGAAACCAAUAUACACGAGAACGUGAUUGGCCGAGCGUUAAUGAGUGUCGGUUUAAUUAACUUCUCUCAGGACGUUUUGUCGUUAACUUGUCGUUUGAAUAGCUACUGUAGUUGCGUUCGAAGCUACGCUCACUCGUGAGUUACCGAAUAACAAUGCAUUUAUUUAAUUAAACCGUGUUAUAAUUUAUACAUUGUUCAUCGAAUAAAUGUCUGAUAUUACACAAAAAAAAUUCUCAGUAAGUCCAGAACGCCCGGUUGUUUAUAUUGGCACUCUGGGAAAAGUGUUCUUGAAAAGGUUUGCUGAUAAUGAGAAACCCUCAAACCCAUGCUGGGUUAGGAUUCAGCAGAGAACACAUGCCUUUGACAAGUAAGGUUUUUGCACGGCCUUAAUGGCAUAUAGUUCGACCAAGACUCAUCUUUAGGUAAAAUUCGGCUUACCCUGUCAUUUUUCAAAACAAACAAUCAAUUAUUCUUCUCAAGCCUAGCUUGGAAUUAGUAUUAUUGGCAUCUAAUUUCAUGAGUUGAAACUGCCCUGAGCCACAAAAGCUGCAUUACAUGCGGAAACCUCCAUACUUCAAACUAAGACGGUGGUAUUGUUUACCUCAAAGAAACCAUCAGGGUUAUUAUACCAUCAAGUGUUUUGAGAAGAAAAUCGUAUUUUAUCCAAAUCGUGCAGCCCGAGUUUUAUGCUUUUUAAAACUAGUUAUGCUUUGGUCCUUGGAUACAAUACUUUUCUGAAUGGCAGUUUAUUUUUAUUGAAGACCUUUUUUUUUUCUCCGGAGACCGACUAUUUGGCUUCUGGGGAACUUCGUUAACUGCCUCACGUUGUUAUAAAUUCAAAUGUCUAAGUGCUAUUUCUCAUACCUCUUUGAAAGCUGUUACAUCUUACUGCUGAUUAGUAAUCAACCUAAAGUAACCUCUGCAGGUGUUUGUAAUUGUGAUAUAGUUACUUCAAAGUCCUUUUCCAUGUGAUGUUAUCAUUAUUUUGUUCAACCCCUAUAUAUACAUAAUUUAUAUUGACAUGGUAAAAGGCAUGAUGGAAUUCCCAUCAUUUCUAUGUACACUAGUUUUUAUUGGCCUUUAAGAAUAUUGUGAUGAAUGGAAACCAUGUGAAGGAUACUGGUGCUUCCCCAAGUUGAACUAAAUGUCUGCUGAGUGAUUAGCCUCAACAUUAAUUAGGCUCCCAUGUUAAUUAGGAGCACCCCAUGUAUUGUCCCGUUGUAGAACUGAGUGAAGACCAGUGGAACGAUUCACCGAACAAAUACAAAAUAUUUCAUUUUAAAUUUAUAUUCAAUUAAAAAUAGUGUCAGAAGACUGUCAACUAAUCCAAAGCAUUUUAUAAAGCUUUUUAAUAUCAGCAGUAGUGUAUAUAAAGUGGUCAUUCAGAAAUCAAGCCUAAGAACAAGCUAUAGAGAAGCACAUGUUAUGCUACUCUGUAUUAAGACAGUAACAAGGUAAGAGUCCCAGCACUGAACAAGGGACCAUGGUCCUCCAGGAUGACAGCCUACAUGCUGACCUGUGUACAGAUGACCGUCUUCCCAGCAGGGUGUUUUCAAGCUCCCCCAAUAAUUUCGGGAAACUUUCCAGUCGUGGGGCAAGUCUUCAAUGAACAAGAGGCCAGCUGUAUUUGGUUAGAAGAUGGUGCUGUUGAAGGUCUUGUCUCUCCGGUACCAGAGACAGGAAGACAAGAGGUAUCAAAGCCCCUCCGUCAAACUGAAGACACUGUCCCGUGGCCAGUAUGGCUUAUAAAACAGGAGGAGGAAGAUGACGAUGAUCUGGACUUACAAGGUGACAGGAAGUGGAAACCAGAGUCGGCAGAACCGAAUGUCACAGGAGAAAGCGACGGAGAAGACAGAGGUCAAGUCUUUGGUGGAUCUAGUGGACUUGAGGACUUCAAAAGAGAAUUUCAAGAGAGUCCGUUGCUGGAGUCUGUUGAGGACACAGCAUCACCUAUAAAGAGACACGUUAGACAAAUGUUAAAACACGCUGGAUCAACAUAUUUUAGCUGCAAUCUCUGUGAUGAGAAAUUCCAGGGCCAGAGUGGCUUGGCCAGACACCGGCGCCACAAACAUGACCUGGUGAAAGCCUACUGUUGCUCUGUGUGCGGGAAAGGCUUCACCUACAUCAAAUCCCUGAACUCUCAUGAGCUCUCUCAUUCUGAGGUGAUCUCUUCAGCUGUACCUGUGGAUGAAACCAGGGCAAGGAAAAUCAAUCUGACAGAUGAACCCACAGACGGGAAUGCCGCAAGAGACAUGAUUAGUGCCAUCCUUCACUCAAAGCCAGGUGGAGAAAAGGUCUUCCAGGAAUAUGCAAACUCCAAAGGUCUAACAGAUAGCACGCGGAGACUGAUGGUGAACAUAAUUGUGGCCGAUAUGAUGGAAAAUCAUGGGAGGACCCCACCAUCAAGUGUCCGCACCAACUACGCCUUGGGGAUUGUGACUUUAUUUCCUUACUUGAGUGAUCCAAAUUCUGAGCAUGGAUAUGAACAAUAUUAUGAUUCAGCUAGUGGGUCUGGCUACCUGACCUGGAGGAUAAAGACAGUGGGUCGCAACAAAUUAUGUAAGACCAAGAAGAAAACCUAUCAGAAUGGUUCAAAGACUCAACGACAUUCCUCAUCAGCUGUUGAGCCACUAUUGGAUGAACAGGUCAGUUCAGUGGGCUCCGAUUGCUCUGGUUCAGCUGUACAUCUGGAUGAAACAAGGUCAAGGAAACGGCGUCGGGCUGAUGAACCCACAGACAGGAAUGUUGCAAGAGAUAUGAUCAGCGCCAUCCUUCACUCAAAACCAGGUGGUGAAAUGGUAUUUCAGGAGUAUAUGAAAACCAAAGGUCUUACGGAAAGCACGCGGAGACUGAUGGUGAACAUUAUUGUGGCAGAUAUGAUGGAAAAUCACGGGAGGACGCCCCCAUCAAGUGUCCGCGCCAACUACGCCUUGGGGAUUGUGACAUUAUUUCCCUAUUUGAGGGAUCCACAUUCUGAGCAUGGAUAUGAAAAAUAUUAUGAUGCAGCUAGUGGGUCUGGCUACCUGACCUGGAGGAUAAAGACAGUGGGUCGCAACACAUCAUGUAAGACCAAGAAGAAAACCAAGUCCACUUAUCAAAAUGGCCCAAAGGUUCUGCGAAGUUCUGUUUUACCUGUUGGGCAACUGUCAGGUGAUGAAUGUGUAGAAGCAAUAUCCCAGCUGAAGCAUACAAAUGACAAGGCACUGGUGAAAGAGAAAAUGAAGAUGACGUUCCAAUAUAGACAGGCGAUGAUUCAUGAUCCGGAGAAGCCCUCAACUGUCCUUAAUGUCUUCCCAAGAUUCCUUGACACUCCAGGCUUGAUCAAUCAAGAUUUCACCAUGCUUUUUGGAGAGGUUGUGUCUGGAACGUUCCUGGAAAAGUGGCCAACAUUCUUCAAACCCAGGGUGAUAGCAGAUUGCAAAACCCUUCCUUCCAGUGAACUGGUUGAACACCUCCUGUCAUCUGCACAACAGGAACCGAAUGAUUAUGGAUGGGAGAGUGACCUUGCAUCCAUUUUGUUGCUCCUGCAUCUUUUACCCCCCACCUCAAAAGGCCCAAAGACUGCAAAGAUCCGUACCUCUCAAGCUGCUGACCAUCUGGUUAGAUUUCUAAAGGCGGGGACAAACAUGGCGACCUUUCUAAAGGAUGUUGGAUGUGACCAGCAGCCCUUCCUCCUUUGCGUUGGUGAACGGAAGAACAUACUCCAGAAGUUCUACGUAGUUGUCGACCAGAAGGCCAUCCCAUGCCAGGCUGAAACAUCACUAGCAGCUUUUGAUGAGCUCUUUAAGGCACAUUAUGUCUUCAGUGUGACGUAUCAUGAAGCUUUGUGCAACUUCUACACAUUCAUCCAAACCACUAUUUACAGUAUCGAUGUGGGAAAGGCAAAAGAAUCCUCAAGAGUCAAGGAGAUUAGAGUUAGGCUGCUCAAUAAAAACACUUAAAGGACAUCCAACAAUGUUUUUAUUUAUACAUAAUAUCACUGUAGUUGUGUAUUGAGAAGUUUCAUGAUUUUAAAUAAAAAAUGAAUUUGGGCUGCAAUGGUUCUAAAAAUUAUUUUAAAAAAAGUAUUAAAUGAUAAGGUGUUUAACUGCUUUGAUUGCCAUCUUCCGGACCAUUUUACAAAACCUGUCCACCGUCCUUGAUAUACC
Molecule: long non-coding RNA, 4754 nt
Organism: Esox lucius (northern pike)
Lineage: Eukaryota; Metazoa; Chordata; Actinopteri; Esociformes; Esocidae
Source: Ensembl